AUUGAACGCUGGCGGCAUGCUUUACACAUGCAAGUCGAGCGGCAGCGCGGGGCAACCUGGCGGCGAGCGGCGAACGGGUGAGUAAUGCAUCGGAACGUACCCCGUAGUGGGGGAUAACGCCGGGAAACCGGCGCUAAUACCGCAUAUGCUCUACGGAGGAAAGUGGGGGCCGCCAAGGCCUCACGCAAGGGGAGCGGCGGAUGUCGGAUUAGCUUGUUGGUGGGGUAAUGGCUUACCAAGGCGACGAUCGGUAGCUGGUCUGAGAGGAUGAUCAGCCACACUGGGACUGAGACACGGCCCAGACUCCUACGGGAGGCAGCAGUGGGGAAUUUUGGACAAUGGGGGCAACCCUGAUCCAGCCAUGCCGCGUGCGGGAAGAAGGCCUUCGGGUUGUAAACCGCUUUUAGCUGGGAAGAAAAGGCACGUCUUAAUACGGCGUGUUCUUGACGGUACCGGCGGAAUAAGCACCGGCUAACUACGUGCCAGCCGCCGCCGUAA
RNAcentral lists this ribosomal RNA (498 nucleotides) under uncultured bacterium. RNAcentral's name for it is "partial 16S ribosomal RNA". It matches the Rfam family "Bacterial small subunit ribosomal RNA", at positions 28 to 523 of the family's 1533-position model. The record is from RNAcentral.